RNAcentral lists this unclassified non-coding RNA (19 nucleotides) under Mus musculus (house mouse). RNAcentral describes it as "oocyte_clustered_small_RNA7668". The record is from RNAcentral. Lineage: Eukaryota; Metazoa; Chordata; Mammalia; Rodentia; Muridae.
ACAAAACUAGACACUACAG